Molecule: ribosomal RNA, 838 nt
Filed under: Neophaeocryptopus cytisi
Lineage: Eukaryota; Fungi; Ascomycota; Dothideomycetes; Dothideales; Dothideaceae
Description: eukaryotic LSU rRNA
Rfam family: Eukaryotic large subunit ribosomal RNA
Source: RNAcentral
GGGAUUGCCCUAGUAACGGCGAGUGAAGCGGCAAUAGCUCAAAUUUGAAAGCUGGCCUUCUGGUCCGCAUUGUAAUUUGUAGAGGAUGCUUUUAGGCAGCCGCCGGUCUAAGUUCCUUGGAACAGGACGUCAUAGAGGGUGAGAAUCCCGUAUGUGACCGGCUCUGGCACCUUAUGUAAAGCUCCUUCGACGAGUCGAGUUGUUUGGGAAUGCAGCUCUAAAUGGGAGGUAAAUUUCUUCUAAAGCUAAAUACUGGCGAGAGACCGAUAGCGCACAAGUAGAGUGAUCGAAAGAUGAAAAGCACUUUGGAAAGAGAGUUAAAAAGCACGUGAAAUUGUUGAAAGGGAAGCGCUUGCAAUCAGACUUGGACUUGGCUGUUCAACCGGUCUUCUGACCGGCCCACUCAGUCUUGUCCAGGCCAGCAUCAGUUUCGGCGGCCGGAUAAAGGCCCUGGGAAUGUAGCUGCCCCCUCGGGGGCAGUGUUAUAGCCCGGGGUGUAAUACGGCCAGCUGGGACUGAGGUCCGCGCUUCGGCUAGGAUGCUGGCGUAAUGGUUGUAAGCGGCCCGUCUUGAAACACGGACCAAGGAGUCUAACAUCUAUGCGAGUGUUAGGGUGUCAAACCCUUACGCGUAAUGAAAGUGAACGGAGGUGGGAACCCGCAAGGGUGCACCAUCGACCGAUCCUGAUGUCUUCGGAUGGAUUUGAGUAAGAGCAUAGCUGUUGGGACCCGAAAGAUGGUGAACUAUGCCUGAAUAGGGUGAAGCCAGAGGAAACUCUGGUGGAGGCUCGCAGCGGUUCUGACGUGCAAAUCGAUCGUCAAAUUUGGGUAUAGGGGCG